RNAcentral lists this long non-coding RNA (605 nucleotides) under Helianthus annuus (common sunflower). RNAcentral describes it as "hypothetical non coding rna". The record is from RNAcentral. Lineage: Eukaryota; Viridiplantae; Streptophyta; Magnoliopsida; Asterales; Asteraceae.
UGAUCUAAUGAUGAUCAAUAUUAUAAUUAUUAUUAUUAUUUAUUAUUAAUAAUAAAACCUAAUAACAAAAUCACAGACGUCUUCUUCGUUUAACGUUGCCGAAACGAAACCUUAACUAAUUUCAGGCUCCACCACCGAUGUUGAACGGAGAUGAGGAUGGUGGCGGUUUGGUCGGAGGAGGACAGCGGUCGACGAUGAUGAACGUCGGAGGUCGAGAUGCAGGUUGAUCGGAGAGGAUGACCGGAGAAGACAACUGUUGGUUUAGUGAUGAAGCAGAGAAGACGAUGAUGAUGAUGGACGAUAAGCGAUGGAGUCGAAAUCGGAACUCGAAACAGUGAGAGAUGGUUGCGACUCGGAAUUGGUUUCGACUCGUGACAAUGAUGAACGAUGACCAGAGACGGAGUUGCAAGUUCCGGCGAUGAUCGUUGCGACUCGGAUGAUCAAUAACUCGAGAUCUCAGUUGCGACUUGGAACCGCGAAAGAGAUAACUCGAGACCUCUGUGAGUCGAGACCUUGAAUGAUGAAGUGGAAGACUCGAGACCUUGAAGGAACCUCUUGUGAUUGCGACUUGACGACUCGAAACCGGUGAAGAUGUUGAAGAGUCG